GGUGACUCGCAGGAAAAUAUGAGCGGAACGCUGUACGAAUGUCAACAGCAGACACCAACAUGGACUAUUGGACUAUCUGCUACAACAUAUUUGAGUGAAAAUGCAGGAUAAAAGACAUCGUUUAUCUUGCAGCUUUUUUGCAGGUGAGCAGAAAGAUCUUCAAGACGAGUUUCAGGGCUGGGUCGCCCCAUCAGUGAAGACAAUCGUCCUGAACGAGAAGAGACUUCUGGUGCUCUCACAGUCAUGACUGCACAAAAGAAGAGCCAUGCAUCGAUAAUAAAACCAGAGAAAAGAAAUGGAAAUACAGGACCCCAGCAUUUGUGGCUUAUUUCACACAUUGCCUGUGUUUUUAUUUUAAAAAUGUGCAUGCAAAUGCUUUGUAAA
Pimephales promelas (fathead minnow) is the source of this 384-nucleotide non-coding RNA. The record is from RefSeq and is a predicted model, not a curated record. Lineage: Eukaryota; Metazoa; Chordata; Actinopteri; Cypriniformes; Leuciscidae.